This 259-nucleotide long non-coding RNA is filed under the name Populus tremula. RNAcentral's name for it is "long non-coding RNA (PTRE_LNC003408)". The record is from RNAcentral. Lineage: Eukaryota; Viridiplantae; Streptophyta; Magnoliopsida; Malpighiales; Salicaceae.
AGAAUACGUGAAGGGAUUCAAUUGCUUUUAUUCAGCUUACUUUCUCUGUUACAAGCACAGUAUAUAUAACCAAAUUUACAAAGGCUCCCUUUUCCUGAUCCUAUAGUUUCGGACUUAUAUAUGGAAGGCUAUUUCUAUUAGAAUACAAUCACAUGUUUACGGGGAUUCUAGGAUAUAUUUUACAGCUAACAUCAGAGAUACAAUAGGACUCAAAUACUGGAAUUCCAACUUGGAGAUAAUUGCUUUAGACUUAUCAACA